GAGGGGCAGCUGGUGGAGUCUGGGGGAGGCCUGGUCCAGCCUGGGGGUUCACUGAGACUCUCCUGCACAGCCUCUGGAUUCACCUUCAAAAAAUAUUCUAUGUACUGGAUCCGCCAGGCUCCAGGGAAGGGGCUGGAGUGGGU
This is a non-coding RNA of Microcebus murinus (gray mouse lemur), 143 nucleotides long. Lineage: Eukaryota; Metazoa; Chordata; Mammalia; Primates; Cheirogaleidae. The record is from RefSeq and is a predicted model, not a curated record.